UUGUUUUACACGAAUUUUACUACUUUAUUAAACAUAAUAUUUGUAAUACUUUAUAACAAAAAUUUAAUUGAUAGAUGUUUAUAGGCUUUUAGAGUGUGGAAGGUUCGGUCUUGUUUGGUGAACCAUGUACAAUAUUUAGGGAUUGCUUUAAUUCUUGUGGUCAUGGUGCAAUGCCCUUUUGCCAGAAUGGACAUUGCAGUUGCG
This 204-nucleotide long non-coding RNA is filed under the name Nicotiana benthamiana. Its description in RNAcentral is "long non-coding RNA (NBEN_LNC036928)". Lineage: Eukaryota; Viridiplantae; Streptophyta; Magnoliopsida; Solanales; Solanaceae. The record is from RNAcentral.